AAUAAAAUGGCUGAUUUAGGCGAUAAAUUGUAAAUUUAUUUAUGAAAUUUUUUUUUCUUUUAUUA
RNAcentral lists this transfer RNA (65 nucleotides) under Monsoma pulveratum. Its description in RNAcentral is "tRNA-Tyr". Lineage: Eukaryota; Metazoa; Arthropoda; Insecta; Hymenoptera; Tenthredinidae. The record is from RNAcentral.